GACGAACGCUGGCGGCGUGCUUAACACAUGCAAGUCGAACGGAAAGGCCCUGCUUUUGUGGGGUGCUCGAGUGGCGAACGGGUGAGUAACACGUGAGUUACCUGCCCCUGACUUUGGGAUAACUUCAGGAAACUGGGGCUAAUACCGGAAAGGAGCUCUUGCUGCUUGGUGGGGGUUGGAAAGUUUCGCCGGUUGGGGAUGGACUAGCGGCUUGUCAGCUUGAUGGUGGGGUAGUGUCUUACCAAGGCUAUGAAGGGUAGCCGACCUGGGAGGAUCACCGGCCACGUUAGGACUGGGAUACGGCCCAGACUCCUACGGUAGGCAACAGUGGGGAAGAUUACACAAUGGGCUGAAGCCUAAUGCAGCAACGCCGCGUCCGGGAAGACAGCAUUCGGUUUGGAAACCGCUUUCGCCUUUGACGAGGCGUUAGUGACGGUAAUGGGUAAAGAAGCACCGGCUAACUACGUG
This 468-nucleotide ribosomal RNA is filed under the name uncultured bacterium. RNAcentral's name for it is "partial 16S ribosomal RNA". It matches the Rfam family "Bacterial small subunit ribosomal RNA", at positions 28 to 507 of the family's 1533-position model. The record is from RNAcentral.